Molecule: non-coding RNA, 97 nt
Organism: Brevundimonas diminuta ATCC 11568
Lineage: Bacteria; Pseudomonadati; Pseudomonadota; Alphaproteobacteria; Caulobacterales; Caulobacteraceae
Source: Rfam
AACGCUCUCGCGGGAGAGAUCGGGUCCGUUCGCGGCGCCCGGAGCCGAAGGCGCAACCGCCCCGGAAACGCUCAGGCAAAAGGACCGCGAAAGCGCA